This 253-nucleotide ribosomal RNA is filed under the name uncultured bacterium. RNAcentral describes it as "partial 16S ribosomal RNA". It matches the Rfam family "Bacterial small subunit ribosomal RNA", at positions 524 to 776 of the family's 1533-position model. The record is from RNAcentral.
UACAGAGGGGGCAAGCGUUAUUCGGAAUUAUUGGGCGUAAAGGGCGCGUAGGCGGCCUGACAAGUGGAAGGUGAAAUCCCUCGGCUUAACCGAGGAACUGCCCUCCAAACUGUUUGGCUUGAGACCGGGAGAGGUGAGUGGAAUUCCCAGUGUAGCGGUGAAAUGCGUAGAUAUUGGGAGGAACACCAGUGGCGAAGGCUGCUCACUGGACCGGUACUGACGCUGAGGCGCGAAAGCGUGGGGAGCAAACGGG